This 820-nucleotide ribosomal RNA is filed under the name unidentified archaeon. Its description in RNAcentral is "bacterial SSU rRNA". It matches the Rfam family "Archaeal small subunit ribosomal RNA", at positions 234 to 1054 of the family's 1478-position model. The record is from RNAcentral.
AGUGGGUGUAGCGUACCUACUAGCUUACGACGGGUACGGGUUGUGAGAGCAAGAGCCCGGAGAUGGAUUCUGAGACACGAAUCCAGGCCCUACGGGGUGCAGCAGGCGCGAAAACUUUACAAUGCUGGCAACAGCGAUAAGGGAACCUCGAGUGCCAGGUUACAAAUCUGGCUGUCGAGAUGCCUAAAAAGCAUUUCAUAGCAAGGGCCGGGCAAGACCGGUGCCAGCCGCCGCGGUAACACCGGCGGCUCGAGUGGUAACCGUUAUUAUUGGGUCUAAAGGGUCUGUAGCCGGCCGGAUAAGUCUCUUGAGAAAUCUGGCAGCUUAACUGUCAGGCUUUCAGGAGAUACUGUCUGGCUCGAGGCCGGGAGAGGUGAGAGGUACUUCAGGGGUAGGGGUGAAAUCUUGUAAUCCUUGAAGGACCACCAGUGGCGAAGGCGUCUCACCAGAACGGACCUGACGGCAAGGGACGAAAGCUAGGGGCACGAACCGGAUUAGAUACCCGGGUAGUCCUAGCCGUAAACGAUACUCGCUAGGUGUCGGCCACGGUGCGACCGUUGUCGGUGCCGUAGGGAAGCCGUGAAGCGAGCCACCUGGGAAGUACGGCCGCAAGGCUGAAACUUAAAGGAAUUGGCGGGGGAGCACCACAACGGGUGGAGCUUGCGGUUUAAUUGGAUUCAACGCCGGAAAUCUUACCGGGACCGACAGCAAUAUGAAGGCCAGGCUGAAGACUUUGCCGGAUUAGCUGAGAGGUGGUGCAUGGCCGUCGUCAGUUCGUACUGUGAAGCAUCCUGUUAAGUCAGGUAACGAGCGAGACCCA